Molecule: ribosomal RNA, 399 nt
Filed under: bacterium enrichment culture clone ALO1_GLFRUDD03GH2RK
Lineage: Bacteria
Description: bacterial SSU rRNA
Rfam family: Bacterial small subunit ribosomal RNA
Source: RNAcentral
GAGUUUGAUCGUGGCUCAGAUUGAACGCUGGCGGCAGGCCUAACACAUGCAAGUCGAGCGGAUGACGGGAGCUUGCUCCUUGAUUCAGCGGCGGACGGGUGAGUAAUGCCUAGGAAUCUGCCUGGUAGUGGGGGACAACGUUUCGAAAGGAACGCUAAUACCGCAUACGUCCUACGGGAGAAAGCAGGGGACCUUCGGGCCUUGCGCUAUCAGAUGAGCCUAGGUCGGAUUAGCUAGUUGGUGGGGUAAUGGCUCACCAAGGCGACGAUCCGUAACUGGUCUGAGAGGAUGAUCAGUCACACUGGAACUGAGACACGGUCCAGACUCCUACGGGAGGCAGCAGUGGGGAAUUUUGGACAAUGGGGGCAACCCUGAUCCAGCCAUGCCGCGUGAGUGAAG